AGCAGCCGCGGUAAUUCCAGCUCCAAUAGCGUAUAUUAAAGUUGUUGCAGUUAAAAAGCUCGUAGUUGAAUUUCGGGGUUAGUAGGUUGGUCGUGCCACUGGUACGUACUGGUCUCACUGAUUCCUCCUUCCUGAUGAACUGUAAUGCCAUUAAUUUGGUGUUGCAGGGAAACUGGACUGUUACUUUGAAAAAUUAGAGUGUUUAAAGCAAGCUAACGCUUGAAUACAUUAGCAUGGAAUAAUGAAAUAGGACGUUCGAUCCUAUUUUGUUGGUUUCUAGGAUUGACGUAAUGAUUAAUAGGGAUAGUUGGGGGCAUUAGUAUUCAAUUGUCAGAGGUGAAAUUCUUGGAUUUAUUGAAGACUAACUACUGCGAAAGCAUUUGCCAAGGAUGUUUUCAUUAAUUCAUGAACGAAAGUUAGGGGAUCGAAGACGAUCAGAUACCGUCGUAGUCUUAACCAUAAACUAUGCCGACUAGGAAUCAGACGAUGUUAAUUUUUUAAUGACUCGUUUGGCACCUUA
This 520-nucleotide ribosomal RNA is filed under the name uncultured Glomus. Its description in RNAcentral is "SSU rRNA". It matches the Rfam family "Eukaryotic small subunit ribosomal RNA", at positions 569 to 1090 of the family's 1831-position model. The record is from RNAcentral. Lineage: Eukaryota; Fungi; Glomeromycota; Glomeromycetes; Glomerales; Glomeraceae.